Molecule: long non-coding RNA, 1122 nt
Filed under: Marmota monax (woodchuck)
Lineage: Eukaryota; Metazoa; Chordata; Mammalia; Rodentia; Sciuridae
Source: RNAcentral
UGAUAGCAAUCUGUAAUUGCAGCCACUGCUCAUGCUCGAGUCAUAAUUUGAAAAGAAACCAAAGUCACUUGGCAGCUGACUAUGUGGCUAAGAGAGGUGUCUGAGUGGAGUUUACUGAGGAGGAGGCAAAGCUGUUGUCUAAAAAACACGCUAAUGAGAAAUCCUGUAAUUUAAUCUGCUUCCUUCAGGAAGCACUCUUUGGAAUGAAAUGGGACGUCAGCUGCAAAGGUACUUAAUAAGAUACAGAGGUUCCAGCUGUUACUUCAGUUCUUACCCUUUGCCCACUCUCUUCCACCCGCUCCCCAACAGAGGAGAAUGUUGUCUGAUUUUUAUAGGGAAGCUGUGUUCAUUCUGGAAAUUUUAAGUAAAAAAAGAGCUCGCAUUUAUUGAAAGUCUCAUCUAUGACCUCAUUUAAUUGUGACCUUCCCCAAAUCUGUGAGAGAUUAGCACUUGGUUCUCAGGCGAGAACACUGAGACUCAGAGAGAUGGUGUUCCUGGCCCCACAUUCCUUACCCACAGAGGGGCCAAGCUGAGAUUCACCCCUGGACCCAGAGCCACACUCAUGCCUCAGCCCACAUCCUGCAGGGAACUCCCAGGAGGUCCACCUCUGUUGAAGGCUCCCUUGCCCUUGCCUGCAGAGAUCCAGCUGACCCUGGGACCACAACAGCACACGGCAGGCAGGGGCCAACAUCUCCACCUCUCAUCUCAUCCCAAAGGUUCUGAGUCCCCAGUCCAAGACCCUCUGAUGGGACUUCCCUGCCUGACGCCCUUCAACCUCCCUCGGGCCCCUGGUCAUCCUCUCUGCCCCAGCCACUGUGGUCAUGGAGAAAAAGGAGAAAAAGUACCCACCACGAAGCCUCUCCCCAAAUCUAACCCAUCUAAGCAAAUCCUUUGCCAGGACCAUUGCAGCCAGCAGGAUUCCUCUCUAGGGCCAAUCCCAGCGAUGGCUCCUAAAGGCAGGAAACUUGGGUGUGUCGUCACCAGCACAUUAGCAGACUGUUCUGGGGAGAGAGUCUGUGGCUCUCCGUGGCCUCUCAGCAGGGCCUCCGAGAUCCAUGCCAGAUAACAACCAAUGCCUUAGCGGAUUUUCUUCCCCCUGCUCCUUUGUGGGAAUGCUUCCUG